RNAcentral lists this long non-coding RNA (448 nucleotides) under Rattus norvegicus (Norway rat). Its description in RNAcentral is "long non-coding RNA NONRATT032289". Lineage: Eukaryota; Metazoa; Chordata; Mammalia; Rodentia; Muridae. The record is from RNAcentral.
AUAGAGGGCUGCGGGUCAUCAAAGCCCAGUGCUAAUCAACAAUGCUCUCUCAGAGAGCCCAGUCCCAAGGUCAUCUGGCCACUCUUCUGGGAUUCUUGACAUCACAGGAGAGGAGGAGGAACUGCGAAGGAACAGAGGUUGUGGGUGGAGAGAGAAUGAACCAUCUCUAGGUCCGGCUCCAAUCACCCUUCAGGUGUACGCAUUCAGAUGUGUCAGCAUAAGGGCCCCUACGAAGGCAACGAUGUCACCACUUGCAGGAAAAUGGAGACUCAGAGGCAGCUUGCAGGUGUGCACGCUCACAUUGAAACCCUGAGUACACGGAGUGAAAAAAAGAACUUCCCAGUAGGCUAUGAGCCGUGAGCAGACUGCGAAACCAUGAAGGAGAGACGACAGGAAUGCCAGAGCCUGAACUCAGCCAACUGUGAAAAUAAACUGUGAUUAUAAGAAG